This 253-nucleotide ribosomal RNA is filed under the name uncultured bacterium. Its description in RNAcentral is "partial 16S ribosomal RNA". It matches the Rfam family "Bacterial small subunit ribosomal RNA", at positions 524 to 776 of the family's 1533-position model. The record is from RNAcentral.
UACGUAGGGUGCGAGCGUUAAUCGGAAUUACUGGGCGUAAAGCGUGCGCAGGCGGCUUUGCAAGACAGAUGCGAAAUCCCCGGGCUCAACCUGGGAACUGCAUUUGUGACUGCAAGGCUAGAGUACGGCAGAGGGGGAUGGAAUUCCGCGUGUAGCAGUGAAAUGCGUAGAUAUGCGGAGGAACACCAAUGGCGAAGGCAAUCCCCUGGGCCUGUACUGACGCUCAUGCACGAAAGCGUGGGGAGCAAACAGG